Molecule: non-coding RNA, 72 nt
Organism: Phrynosoma platyrhinos (Desert horned lizard)
Lineage: Eukaryota; Metazoa; Chordata; Lepidosauria; Squamata; Phrynosomatidae
Source: the annotation of a GenBank genome assembly
GCCAGUGUAGUGUAGCGGUUUACACACUAGAUGAUAACUCUGGAGAUCGGGAUUCAAUUCUCUGCGCAGCCA